RNAcentral lists this ribosomal RNA (229 nucleotides) under uncultured bacterium. Its description in RNAcentral is "partial 16S ribosomal RNA". It matches the Rfam family "Bacterial small subunit ribosomal RNA", at positions 568 to 796 of the family's 1533-position model. The record is from RNAcentral.
UGCGUAGGCGGCUUUGUAAGUCAGAGGUGAAAGCCCAUAGCUUAACUGUGGAAUUGCCCCUGAUACUGUGGAGCUUGAAUCAGGUUGAGGUAAGCGGAAUGUGGCGUGUAGCGGUGAAAUGCUUAGAUAUGCCAUAGAACACCAAUUGCGAAGGCAGCUUACUGGACCUGUAUUGACGCUGAGGCACGAAAGCGUGGGGAGCGAACAGGAUUAGAUACCCUGGUAGUCC